RNAcentral lists this small RNA (4548 nucleotides) under Pan troglodytes (chimpanzee). RNAcentral describes it as "retained intron". The record is from RNAcentral. Lineage: Eukaryota; Metazoa; Chordata; Mammalia; Primates; Hominidae.
AGGAAAACUAAUCCUAAAAUUUCCAUAAGAUAGGUGAUAGAAGUAUAUACGAAACUUACUUUCAGUGGAAAGUAAUUCCUAGUAUUUAUUUACAUUUUAGUUUCAGAUAAUUUUGAUGAAAACGCAUAAAAUUUAGAGUAAGAUAAUGUUAUGGUCUGUUUGAUCUCACCUGAUAAUUGGUGAAAAUGAAAUAGCUGUGUUUUUCCUCCUGGCCCAGGUUGUAGAAUGUUUGGUACAACCAUGCCUCACACUCUUGAGGAAGGUUUUAUGUGGUGAUCCAGUCAUGCGUGUUUCGCUCUCGCAACAGUCUUCUCUUUUGACCGUGUUAUUCAGAGUUUCCUUAAUAUUUCAUGAAGAUUGUAGUGUCGUGACUGAAGUUGGAGCACUAUUUUGUCUUCUAUUAUUUGAUGAAGUAUCAAGAAUGGAUAUGUGGUCUGUUAAUCCUUCCAAUAAACCUUCUUUGCCAUCAGUCUUCAGUUUGCCUGUUUCCGUUUUUAGAAGGUACCAUCUACCUGUUCAUGUAAUUGGACACCAUGCUGUGAGUCCUUACUCCAUAGUUUUGCCCUUAUCUGCUGAUUGUUUGGCCUUGAAGCCGGUGUCAGAUAUGCUGAGAAUAGCUUGGAACCUGUCAUGGUAUCAUGGGAGUGAUAAUCUGUUGAAGCAAAUGAACUCUGAAACUAAAACGCAAGAAAUUUUAGAUGCAUUGAAGUUAUCUACAGAGGACAUCCUCACUCUGAAGAUAACACACAUGGCUAGUGGGCUGCAGGACUGCCUCCAUUCCAUUGUUCAGGCUGCAACCCACAGGGAAGUUAGGGCUGCUGUCACCAGGAUGAGUUUUUAUCUUCUGAAUGACAGAUUGUCUUUAAAGGGUUGCCCUGGUCCAUGUGUGGUUACCUUGAAGUCCUUGGCUUGGCACACCGCACUAAACAGGUUUUUACAAGUGCUUCCUGCUUGCACUGAAGAUGAGAAACUGCUAAUAGAUAUCGUACAUUUUUUAAAUAAAUUAAUAAAGGAACAAAGAAAAAAUUCUUCACUAGAACUUCUAAACUGGAUUCUCGAAUUACUUCUUAGACAUAGUGCAAACCCACUGUUAGACCUCUUGGUUCUGACAGAGUCACAGGCACGAGAAGAAACAGAUGAUAUCCGGACUGCUGUCAGGCAACAACUUCAGAAAGAACUGAUUGCUCUUUUUGAUACCUUGCUGCUCAAUUUCAUGGAAGUUACUGACAGGAAAUGCUCGGAACUUCUUUACGUUUUUCAAACGCAGCUGGCUCUGAAACUGCUCCAGUGUCUGAAAGUGACGGAUGCGCCUCAUUUCUAUGGCCUGCCGUCCCUUGAGCGGACCUUACGAGGGAUGGCUAACCUCACUGCGUUUCCGGGAUGGAGCUCACACUCUCCUCUCACAAACCCUCUAGAUAUCUGUGUGAAGUACUUGUCAGGUCUCCUUGAGGUCAUUACUUCUUUUUAUGUGGAGCGUGGAGGAAAUGCUAUGUCCUUCAUGGGAAAAGGUGUUACAAAGAGCACAAUUCUUUGCUUGCUUCACUUAUCCCAUGAGAUGAUGGCCCAGGCUGGGAGCUCGGAGUGGAUGUCACUUUGGUUCUUGCCUUUGGGUAGUCAUAGUGAAGAACAUAUUCCUACUCAACAAGGAUUGGCUUGGUUGAUUCCAUUAUGGGUUGAUCGGGACCCAGAGGUGAGAUUCACUUCACUGGGAUUAGGAUCAGCACUGACCACCCUUGAAACUGGCUGUGUGGCCUUAGCAAACAGUUGUCAGAACAUUUCCGGUGGGCUCUGGGGAACUGUGGUGAACAUUCUUCUGGACCAGUCAGAAUGUAGUAUGGUGCGCCGGGAGGCGGCAUUUAUUCUUCAGAAUCUCCUUGUAAUUCCAAUGCCUACAGAAAUUAUAAAGGAUUAUACUUGGCAGGGUCCCUGUGUUCAUGAUGAGGACUCUGGCCUAUCGCUCAUUGGAAAACCUGCCCUUCAGGCUCUUUUAUAUCACUGCCAUUUUUAUGAACAUUUGAAUCAGAUGGUAAAGCAUUGUUACCUAGGACGGUGUAUGUUUGAUUUGAAUUUUUCUGCUUUUGAUAGAAAUUCAGAAAGCAAUGAUUUAAAUGGUUUAGAUGACUCAUUCAAGUUUUGGAGGGCUCCAUCUAGGAUAAGUCAGGAUCGAGAUCCAAGUUCUCUCUCCACCUCAGAAACAACGGUGGCACCUUCAUUGGGGAGUACUGAAUUUCAGCCACUUGUGCAGUCAACAACACUUCUGCCUGAAGCCUCCCAUGACCAGUUUGUGGCUCAAGGUCACCAGGAAAGUACAUCACCACGGCCACCUCAUGAUUCAUCUCUUUCUGCUCCCCUGCCCAGACUGUGUGUUUUUGUUACUCCAUCUCUUCUUUCAGCAAUGUGCAGCCUCUUGGACAACCUCUUGACGAUUGCUCCCAGAGACACUGCAAAGGCUUUUCAACAAGCUCAUCUCAUAGAACUUCUCUGUAGCAUUGCAGAUGCUACCCUCAUACAGACAUGUGUCCAGGAACUCAGAGCCCUGCUGCCUUCAUCACCUCCAGCUGAACACACUCAGGCUCAGGUUUCCUUUCUCCUGGAAUACCUAUCCUCUUUGUCCAGGCUUCUGCAGUCAUGUUUAUUGGUGGAGCCUGACCUUGUGAUUCAGGAUGAGCUUGUGAAACCUCUUAUCACCAAUAUCAUUGGAAUUCUCACCAUAUGUACCAAAGAUGUAUCAGAUAAAGAGUUAAUAUCAGCUUUUUAUCACACAUGGACACAUUUAUUUAAUCUUCUGGCCAUGCUCCUGAGGAAAGCUGGUGCCGUCACACUCCCGUCUGUUACCGUGGCCCUGGCCAAGCACUGGACAGCGGCGAUUGAUAUGUUCUGCAGAUGUGCAGGCUUGUCUGCCACGUGUCCUGCCCUGUAUACUGCCAGCUUGCAAUUCCUUUCUAUUCUCUUGACCGAAGAAGCAAAAGGGCAUCUCCAGGCUAAGAGCAAAACACAUUUAUGCUGUAGUCCAACAGUGGCUUCACUUCUUGAUGACUCUCAGGAAAAUCAGAAAUCUCUAGAACGACUUAGUGAUGUAAUCCUUCAGUGCUAUGAAGGGAAAUCCUCCAAAGAUAUCCUGAAAAGAGUAGCUGCAAAUGCAUUGAUGUCACUUCUGGCUGUCAGUAGAAGAGCACAGAAACAUGCUUUGAAAGCCAAUCUUAUAGACAAUUGCAUGGAGCAGAUGAAACACAUAAAUGCACAACUGAACCUAGAUUCUCUGAGGCCUGGGAAAGCAGCAUUGAAAAAAAAGGAGGAUGGUGUUAUUAAAGAGUUAAGCAUUGCCAUGCAGCUCCUAAGAAACUGUCUUUAUCAAAAUGAGGAAUGUAAAGAAGCAGCUCUUGAAGCUCACCUUGUCCCUGUCUUGCACUCUCUCUGGCCUUGGAUUUUGAUGGAUGAUUCAUUGAUGCAAAUUUCUCUGCAGCUCCUUUGUGUCUAUACUGCAAAUUUUCCAAAUGACAUUGUGAUAGGCUGUUAUUUUUGAAGGUUGCAGUUCUCUUUGUUGGUCAAGUUGUGGACAACACCCUGUUCAAGCUACACAUAGAGGAGCCGUGAGCAACUCUCUGAUGCUGUGUAUCCUAAAGUUGGCUUCCCAGAUGCCACUGGAGAACACCACGGUUCAGCAGAUGGUUUUUAUGCUUCUUUCAAACCUGGCCUUGUCGCAUGACUGUAAAGGAGUAAUUCAGAAGAGUAACUUCUUACAGAACUUCCUCUCUCUAGCAUUGCCAAAAGGAGGAAAUAAACAUCUAAGUAAUCUGACUAUUCUUUGGUUGAAGUUACUCCUGAAUAUAUCAUCUGGAGAAGAUGGGCAACAAAUGAUUCUGAGGCUUGAUGGCUGUCUAGACUUACUAACAGAGAUGAGCAAAUACAAGCACAAGAGCAGCCCUUUAUUGCCUCUUCUUAUCUUUCAUAAUGUUUGCUUCAGUCCUGCUAAUAAACCCAAGAUCCUGGCUAAUGAAAAAGUCAUUACUGUGCUUGCUGCCUGUCUGGAAAGUGAGAAUCAAAAUGCUCAGAGGAUUGGAGCAGCUGCCCUUUGGGCUCUGAUUUACAAUUAUCAGAAGGCAAAAACAGCUUUGAAAAGCCCAUCAGUAAAAAGAAGAGUGGAUGAAGCAUACUCCUUAGCAAAGAAAACUUUCCCAAACUCAGAAGCAAACCCUCUAAAUGCCUAUUAUUUGAAAUGUCUUGAAAACCUCGUGCAGCUCCUUAAUUCUUCCUGAGUGCCAUGGGAUGCUACACCUUGAAGCUGACAGUCAUCAACAGGGGAGCUAAAGUUGAAGCCAGCUGUGUGUAGCAGCUGUUACCUGAAGACAUGCUACCUCUCUACAAAGUGUUGAUCCCCUUCUUUCCCAUGAGAGAGAGAACUGGUGAUACUCCAACACCGUCCAGUUGUGGCAGCUCUCCAGAAGUAAUAGCAGCUGACAACUUUCUGUGCCUUUUCCUUUCUGUUGAAAAGGCAUAGAAAGUUCUGGGAACAUAAACAUUUUUACCCUUUUCUAUGCCAUUUAUUUU